This 864-nucleotide ribosomal RNA is filed under the name uncultured archaeon. Its description in RNAcentral is "SSU rRNA". It matches the Rfam family "Archaeal small subunit ribosomal RNA", at positions 474 to 1337 of the family's 1478-position model. The record is from RNAcentral.
UACCAGCACCUCAAGUGGUCAGGAUGAUUAUUGGGCCUAAAGCAUCCGUAGCCGGCUCUGUAAGUUUUCGGUUAAAUCUGUACGCUUAACGUACAGGCUGCCGGGAAUACUGCAGAGCUAAGUAGUGGGAGAGGUAGACGGUACUCGGUAGGAAGGGGUAAAAUCCUUUGAUCUAUUGAUGACCACCUGUGGCGAAGGCGGUCUACCAGAACACGUACGACGGUGAGGGAUGAAAGCUGGGGGAGCAAACCGGAUUAGAUACCCGGGUAGUCCCAGCUGUAAACUAUGCAAACUCAGUGAUGCAUUGGCUUGUGGCCAAUGCAGUGCUGCAGGGAAGCCGUUAAGUUUGCCGCCUGGGAAGUACGUACGCAAGUAUGAAACUUAAAGGAAUUGGCGGGGGAGCACCACAAGGGGUGAAGCCUGCGGUUCAAUUGGAGUCAACGCCAGAAAUCUUACCCGGAGAGACAGCAGAAUGAAGGUCAAGCUGAAGACUUUACCAGACAAGCUGAGAGGUGGUGCAUGGCCGUCGCCAGCUCGUGCCGUGAGAUGUCCUGUUAAGUCAGGUAACGAGCGAGAUCCCUGCCUCUAGUUGCCACCAUUACUCUCAGGAGUAGUGGGGCGAAUUAGCGGGACCGCCGCAGUUAAUGCGGAGGAAGGAAGGGGCCACGGCAGGUCAGUAUGCCCCGAAACUCUGGGGCCACACGCGGGCUGCAAUGGUAACGACAAUGGGUUUCGAAUUCGAAAGGAUGAGGUAAUCCUCAAACGUUACCACAGUUAUGACUGAGGGCUGCAACUCGCCCUCACGAAUAUGGAAUCCCUAGUAACUGCGUGUCACUAUCGCGCGGUGAAUACGUCCCUGCUCCU